UACAGAGACCUCAAGCGUUAUCCGGAAUUAUUGGGCGUAAGGCGUACCGACAGGUGGUUUAGAAAGUCUUGGGUGAAAGACCGAAGCUCAACUUCGGGGUUUGCUUAAGAUACUGCUAAACUAGAGGGGCAAAGAGGCGCCUGGAACGAACGGUGUAGUAGUGAAAUGCGUUGAUAUCGUUCGGAACACCAAAAGCGAAGGCAGGGCACUGGGUGCCACCUGACACUGCUAGGACGAAAGCGUGGGUAGCGAACAGG
RNAcentral lists this unclassified non-coding RNA (257 nucleotides) under uncultured Parcubacteria group bacterium. RNAcentral's name for it is "contains 16S-23S intergenic spacer region". It matches the Rfam family "Bacterial small subunit ribosomal RNA", at positions 524 to 776 of the family's 1533-position model. The record is from RNAcentral.